GACGAACGCUGGCGGCGUGCUUAACACAUGCAAGUCGAACGGAAAGGCCCUGCUUUUGUGGGGUGCUCGAUUGGCGAACGGGUGAGUAACACGUGAGUAACCUGCCCUUGACUUUGGGAUAACUUCAGGAAACUGGGGCUCAUACCGGAUAGGAGCUCCUGCUGCAUGGUGUGGGUUGGAAAGUUUCGGCGGUUGUGGAUGGACUCGCGGCUUAUCAGCUUGUUGGUGGGGUAGUGGCUUACCAAGGCUUUGACGGGUAGCCGGCCUGAGAGGGUGACCGGCCACAUUGGGACUGAGAGACGGCCCAGAAUCCUACGGGAGGCAGCAGUGGGGAAUAUUGCACAAUGGGCGGAAGCCUGAUGCAGCAACGCCGCGUGCGGGAUGACGGCCUUCGGGUUGUAAACCGCUUUCGCCUGUGACGAAGCGUGAGUGACGGUAAUGGGUAAAGAAGCACCGGCUAACUACGUG
This 468-nucleotide ribosomal RNA is filed under the name uncultured bacterium. RNAcentral describes it as "partial 16S ribosomal RNA". It matches the Rfam family "Bacterial small subunit ribosomal RNA", at positions 28 to 507 of the family's 1533-position model. The record is from RNAcentral.